This is a long non-coding RNA of Pseudomyrmex gracilis, 302 nucleotides long. RefSeq lists it as uncharacterized. Lineage: Eukaryota; Metazoa; Arthropoda; Insecta; Hymenoptera; Formicidae. The record is from RefSeq and is a predicted model, not a curated record. The transcript has 3 exons.
GGUGCGUACAAAUUCUUCACACAAAAAGAAGAAAUCGACAGCACCGGAGGAGCCGGUUCGGAUCACCUCAAAACGGUAUAAAGGUGCAAACGGAUUGUUUACGUAGAGGAGUUUGCGGCACAGGAGGAGCCGGUUCGGGCAAUAGGAUGCUGGCACAAAGAGUGGUGUGUAGCAGAAGGUAACCAACGCUCGGUGAGUAAACUUUAGGGUUGUGGUGAUGGUUCGAAAUCAGUGCGAAUCGCGUGUAGAUUAUUGUUUUUAUAAAUUUUGAAACAUUGAGCACAUACCUUUAAUAUUCCGUA